UAGGGAAUAUUGCACAAUGGAGGAAACUCUGAUGCAGCGACGCCGCGUGAGUGACGAAGGCCUUCGGGUUGUAAAGCUCUGUUCUCAGGGAAAAAGCAAGUGAUUGUACCUGAGGAGAAAGGACCGGCUAACUUCGUGCCAGCAGCCGCGGUAAGACGAGGGGUCCAAGCGUUGUUCGGAAUCAUUGGGCGUAAAGCGGGUGUAGGUGGCUCUAUAAGUCAGAAGUGAAAGCCCUGGGCUCAACCCAGGAAGUGCUUUUGAUACUGCAGAGCUUGAAUGUGGGAGAGGGUAGUGGAAUUCCAGGUGUAGUGGUGAAAUACGUAGAUAUCUGGAGGAACACCGGUGGCGAAGGCGGCUACCUGGCCCAACAUUGACACUGAGACCCGAAAGCGUGGGGAUCAAACAGGAUUAGAUACCCUGGUAGUCCC
RNAcentral lists this ribosomal RNA (428 nucleotides) under uncultured bacterium. RNAcentral describes it as "bacterial SSU rRNA". It matches the Rfam family "Bacterial small subunit ribosomal RNA", at positions 355 to 797 of the family's 1533-position model. The record is from RNAcentral.